AUUGAACGCUGGCGGCGUGCCUAACACAUGCAAGUCGAGCGGCAGCGGGCCCGCAAGGGUGCCGGCGAGCGGCGGACGGGUGAGCAAUACAUAGGAAUCUGCCUCAGAGCGGGGGAUAGCCCGGGGAAACCCGGAUUAAUACCGCAUGAUGUCGAAAGACCAAAGUGGGGGACCGUAAGGCCUCACACUCUGAGAUGAGCCUAUGUCGGAUUAGCUAGUUGGCGGGGUAACGGCCCACCAAGGCGACGAUCCGUAGCUGGUCUGAGAGGACGAUCAG
RNAcentral lists this ribosomal RNA (277 nucleotides) under uncultured bacterium. Its description in RNAcentral is "partial 16S ribosomal RNA". It matches the Rfam family "Bacterial small subunit ribosomal RNA", at positions 29 to 307 of the family's 1533-position model. The record is from RNAcentral.